RNAcentral lists this long non-coding RNA (827 nucleotides) under Ursus americanus (American black bear). RNAcentral's name for it is "lncRNA (ENSUAMG00000007972.1)". The record is from RNAcentral. Lineage: Eukaryota; Metazoa; Chordata; Mammalia; Carnivora; Ursidae.
ACCAGUCUCCCCUGACCCGUGGCUCGCCCCUCCGCCCGCAGAUGGCCACUUCUAUCAGAAAUGGGCUCCGCUGCAAGAUCCCCGGGACACCCGCGCCGGGACCAAAGGCUUCGUCAAGGUCACUUUGUCCGUGCGGGCGCGCGGGGACCUGCCCCCUCCGCGGCUCCGCUGCCAGCCCCGGACCCAGGGCACAGUUCGGACAUCGAGAAGUGAGCUGGGGUGAGAGCGGGUGGUGGGAGGGUGGAGAGUAGGACCCCGCGUGGCCUCCGGGAGGCGGAGAGGGGGAGGGGCCGAGACGGCGGCCUCCCCCGGCCUCAGCGCCGCGCUCCCCUAGGAACCUGCUCCUGCCGCGCGGGGUGCCGGCCCAGAGUGCGCGGCUGCGCGUGCGCGUGUACNGAGCGGAGGGGCUGCGGGCGCUGCGCGGGGGGCUGCUGGGGAGUCUGGCCCGCGCCCUGCAGGACCAGCGCGUCCUCCUGGACCCCUACGUGCGCGUGUCUUUCCUGGGGCAGCAGAACCUGUUGGCAAAGCAAGGACUGCGGCUUCUACAGCGUCUGAGGCAGGACGCCGUGCAAGAGAAGGUGGCCCUGGCCAGGAAGCUCUUGGCAAAACUGUGCUUCCUGGCCCGGGAGGUAAUACCGGGCCACCAUUUCCCUGCCGUGACUACCCUGCGGGCGACGGUCGCCCAAUAGUGAUUGAGGUCAGCGUCCUACUGAACCGUACAUUCAAAAAUGGUUGCAGUGAACUAAUGAAGCAUCGAACUUUACAUCGGAAUCCGGGGAUGUACUGUAUGGUGACUAACACAAUAUAAUAAAAUAUCAUUAAAAAAA